Molecule: transfer RNA, 75 nt
Filed under: Cordylochernes scorpioides
Lineage: Eukaryota; Metazoa; Arthropoda; Arachnida; Pseudoscorpiones; Chernetidae
Description: tRNA-Thr
Source: RNAcentral
UGUCCAGGGAUGGGAAUCGAACCCACAUUGUUCCACUUACCGGGCAGAUGCCAUGUCCACUCGGCUACCAUGGAC